This 1475-nucleotide ribosomal RNA is filed under the name uncultured bacterium. RNAcentral's name for it is "bacterial SSU rRNA". It matches the Rfam family "Bacterial small subunit ribosomal RNA". The record is from RNAcentral.
GACGAACGCUGGCGGCGCGCUUAACACAUGCAAGUCGAACGGGGUUCAGCCUCCGGGCUGGAUUCAGUGGCGAACGGGUGCGUAACACGUGAGCAACCUGCCCCUGUAUGGGGGAUAACCCUGGGAAACCGGGGCUAAUACCGCAUGCGCUCUAGGAGCUACCUGGCUCUUUGAGGAAAGUCCCUGAAAGGGGAUGUGCAGGGAGGGGCUCGCGGCGUAUCAGCUAGUUGGCGGGGUAACGGCCCACCAAGGCAACGACGCGUAGCCGGUCUGAGAGGACGACCGGCCACAUUGGGACUGAGAUACGGCCCAGACUCCUACGGGAGGCAGCAGUGGGGAAUCUUGCGCAAUGGGCGAAAGCCUGACGCAGCGACGCCGCGUGGGGGAGGAAGCUUUUCGGAGUGUAAACCCCUGUCAGGAGGGAAGAACGGUCUUGGGAGGAAAUGCCUGAGAUUUGACGGUACCUCCAGAGGAAGCACCGGCUAACUCUGUGCCAGCAGCCGCGGUAAUACAGAGGGUGCGAGCGUUGUUCGGAAUUACUGGGCGUAAAGCGCGCGUAGGCGGUUGUUUAAGUCUUACCGUGAAAUGCCGGGGCUCAACCCCGCGCACGUCGGGGGAUACUGGACGACUGGAGACAAGUAGAGGCGAGCGGAAUUCCGGGUGUAGCGGUGGAAUGCGUAGAGAUCCGGAAGAACACCAGAGGCGAAGGCGGCUCGCUGGGCUUGGUCUGACGCUGAGGCGCGAAAGCGUGGGGAGCGAACAGGAUUAGAUACCCUGGUAGUCCACGCCGUAAACGAUGGAUGCUAGACGCUGGGCGGAUCGACCCGGUCAGUGUCGCAGCUAACGCGAUAAGCAUCCCGCCUGGGGAGUACGGCCGCAAGGCUGAAACUCAAAGGAAUUGACGGGGGCCCGCACAAGCGGUGGAGCAUGUGGUUCAAUUCGAUGCAGAGCGAAGAACCUUACCUGGGCUUGACAUGCUGGAAGUAGAAACCCGAAAGGGCGACGACCUGUUAAGUCAGGAACCAGCACAGGUGGUGCAUGGCUGUCGUCAGCUCGUGCCGUGAGGUGUUGGGUUAAGUCCCGCGACGAGCGCAACCCUCACCCUAUGUUGCCAACGGUUCGGCCGGGCACUCUUAGGGAACUGCCGGCGAAGAGCUGGAGGAAGGGGGGGAUGACGUCAAGUCCGUAUGCCCCUUAUGUCCAGGGCUACACACAUGCUACAAUGGUCGGUACAGAGGGUUGCCAACCCGCAAGGGGGAGCCAAUCCCAGAAAGCCGAUCUCAGUUCGGAUUGUAGGCUGCAACUCGCCUACAUGAAGUAGGAAUCGCUAGUAAGCGCAGAUCAGCAGGCUGCGCUGAAUACGUUCCCGGGCCUUGUACACACCGCCCGUCACACCACGAAAGCCAGCUGUACCAGAAGUCGCUGAGCUAACCGCAAGGAUGCAGGCGCCCAAGGUAUGGUUGGUGAUUGGGGUG